This 258-nucleotide long non-coding RNA is filed under the name Nicotiana benthamiana. RNAcentral's name for it is "long non-coding RNA (NBEN_LNC018469)". Lineage: Eukaryota; Viridiplantae; Streptophyta; Magnoliopsida; Solanales; Solanaceae. The record is from RNAcentral.
AAAUCUUCUUCACAUAUCUUCACAACAUUUUUCCCAUCGCGCAAAGUAGGAGGAACAAAGGAGAUAGUCUUACCCUUCUGCAUGUCACUGUUGCCUUUGACUACCUCUACAAUAGUUGGUUUUGGUUUUACUGGUUCAAUUACUUCAACAGGUACUGGUACUGGUGGAUCCAAUACUGCUGAAAAUUGUAAUCUCCUUGCAGUUGCUUCAAUCGCCACUUCAUUACCCUUCGAUCUAGCCUUCUCUUCAUCUGCAUGC